Molecule: ribosomal RNA, 492 nt
Filed under: uncultured bacterium
Lineage: Bacteria
Description: partial 16S ribosomal RNA
Rfam family: Bacterial small subunit ribosomal RNA
Source: RNAcentral
AGUGAACGCUGGCGGUAGGCCUAACACAUGCAAGUCGAACGGCAGCACAGUAAGAGCUUGCUCUUACGGGUGGCGAGUGGCGGACGGGUGAGGAAUACAUCGGAAUCUACUUUUUCGUGGGGGAUAACGUAGGGAAACUUACGCUAAUACCGCAUACGACCCACGGGUGAAAGCAGGGGAUCUUCGGACCUUGCGCGAUUGAAUGAGCCGAUGUCGGAUUGGCUAGUUGGCGGGUUAAAGGCCCACCAAGGCGACGAUCCGUAGCUGGUCUGAGAGGAUGAUCAGCCACACUGGAACUGAGACACGGUCCAGACUACUACGGGAGGCAGCAGUGGGGAAUAUUGGACAAUGGGCGCAAGCCUGAUCCAGCCAUACCGCGUGUGUGAAGAAGGCCUUCGGGUUGUAAAGCCCUUUUGUUGGGAAAGAAAAGCAGCAGGUUAAUACCCCGCUGUUCUGACGGUACCCAAAGAAUAAGCACCGGCUAACUUCGUG